Molecule: ribosomal RNA, 490 nt
Filed under: uncultured bacterium
Lineage: Bacteria
Description: partial 16S ribosomal RNA
Rfam family: Bacterial small subunit ribosomal RNA
Source: RNAcentral
AUUGAACGCUGGCGGCAGGCCUAACACAUGCAAGUCGAACGGUAAUAGGAAGCAGCUUGCUGCUUCGCUGACGAGUGGCGGACGGGUGAGUAAUGUCUGGGAAGCUGCCUGAUGGAGGGGGAUAACUACUGGAAACGGUAGCUAAUACCGCAUAAUGUCGCAAGACCAAAGAGGGGGACCUUCGGGCCUCUUGCCAUCGGAUGUGCCCAGAUGGGAUUAGCUUGUUGGUGGGGUAACGGCUCACCAAGGCGACGAUCCCUAGCUGGUCUGAGAGGAUGACCAGCCACACUGGGACUGAGACACGGUCCAGACUCCUACGGGAGGCAGCAGUGGGGAAUAUUGCACAAUGGGCGCAAGCCUGAUGCAGCCAUGCCGCGUGUAUGAAGAAGGCCUUCGGGUUGUAAAGUACUUUCAGCGGGGAGGAAGGGAGUAAAGUUAAUACCUGUGCUCAUUGACGUUACCCGCAGAAGAAGCACCGGCUAACUCCGUG